AAUUUGACUACUUUGAAGGUGAACGACUGUAAGAGACUGACACAUGUAUUCACAGACAGCAUGAUUGCUAGUCUAGUUCAACUGAAAGUUCUAGAGAUAUCAGCUUGUGAGGAAUUGGAGCAAAUCGUUGCUAAGGAUAAUGAUGAUGAAAAGGAUCAGAUAUUUUCAGGAAGUGAUCUCCAAUCUGCAUGCUUUCCUAAUUUGUGUCGACUUGAGAUUAGAGGAUGCAACAAGUUGAAGAAGUUGGAGGUGGAUGGAUGCCCAAAGCUGACCAUAGAAUCUGCUACUACAUCAAAUGACUCAAUGAGUGGUCAAUCAGAGGUGCUGCUGAUUUGACUUGAUUUCUUGCCUCUCAUUUAGUUUUAAAAGUGCGCAAUAAUUACUAUGAAUUACAUCUAACAACUUGGUACCCUUGUUUUCUUUUGAUGCAGGGGUUUAUGAAUUUGAAAGAAAUAUCUAUUGGAAACUUGGAAGGAGUACAAGAUGUUAGCGUGAGCUGUACAGUUUAGGAAUUAAUGUUGGCGUGAGCUGUAGAAUCCAAUAUAGGAAUUAUAUUUUUAAUAUUCUGUAAUUGUAUAUAUCCCAAUAUAUAUGGGAUUAAUGUUACUUACCUAGAUAGUUAUCUUGGGAAGGGUUUCUCUAUAUAAGAGAACCACUCUGUAACGUUUGAAGAAUAAGAAAAAGAAGGGAAUACACAGGGCGGCUGCUCUCUGAUUUAUCAUGGUAUCAGAGCUACGUUCCAUUAUUUGUUUCUUGAAGAUCUAGCAAACAACCUAAGGAAAAUAAAGCAUGGCCACACCAAUUGACUUGAUUGAACAAGAACAACCGAAUACAGCUACAACUCUUGAUGAUCUCACGACGAGAAUGGCUCAAAUUGUAACCCAAAACCAGACCCAGACCCCAUCAGUAAUCUAUGAUACUGUUGCUGUACCGAUUGGUAUCAAACUUGAUGGUACCAACUAUGCUUUAUGGUCCCAAAUUGUGGAGAUGUAUAUCUCAGGAAAAGACAAGUUGGGAUACAUAAAUGGUGACCUUCCACAACCAGAACCGAAUGAUCCCCACUUCAGGAGAUGGAGAACAGAAAACUCUAUUGUUAAGGGAUGGCUUAUUAACUCAAUGGAGCCGUCUCUCAUAGGAAACUUUAUCCGAUUUUCCACGGCCAAACAGGUAUGGGACUCGAUCGCCACUACUUACUUUGAUGGAUCCGAUACUUCUCAGGUGUAUGAUUUGAAGCGACGAGUAACACGAAUGAAACAAUCAGGAGAGUCCAUUGAAACAUACUACAAUUGCCUCCAAGGCUUAUGGAGGGAAAUUGAUUUCCGUAGACCAAAUCCUAUGGAAUGUGCUGUUGAUAUUCAAAAGUAUAAUGCUUUGCUUCAAGAGGAUCGAGUGUAUACUUUUUUGGAUGGACUAGAUGAUAGGCUGGACAAUAUACGUAGUGAUGUGCUCCAACUGAAACCUUUCCCAACGGUUGAACAAGCUUAUGCCUAUGUUCGAAGGGAAGCUAUUAGACAGACGGUUAUGCUCACUAAUAAUGGAAAUUCUCCUGCUGCAGCAAUGGUUUCUAGGGGAGGGAAAGCCUACUUACCUCGACAGCAAGCACUCCAAAUAACCAGAUCAGGGACGUCUUCAUCAAGAGGGCGUAACAAUUAUCACCUAGCAAAGACUAAAGGACAGGUGGAGAGUGAAAGCAGUGGCUGUUCUCAUUGUGGAAACAUGAAGCAUACACGGGACACUUGCUUCAAACUGCAUGGCUAUCCAGAAUGGUGGAAUGAAUUAAAAACACGGAAGCAGAGGGUUGUUGCUGGGGACACAGGACAAGCAUCUUUGGCAGACACUAAGCCACAAUUAUCGUUAGCUCCACUUGUAGAAUCUGGAGACGAUGCCAUAAUUCUGCCUAAGGAUCAAGGUAAUACAGGAACUAAAACCGACUGGAUAGUGGACUCUGGUGCAACGGAUCACAUGACUUUUUGUUCAGGAGACUUUGCUAAUACUACAGAACCAAGGCGAACUGGUAUAACCAAUGCCAAUGGGGUUGUCUACCCUGUCACAGGAGCUGGAACAGUGCACAUAUCACCCUCCAUAUCAUUAACCAAUACUUUAUUAGUGCCUUCUCUAUCAAAUAAAUUGUUAUCUGUGAGCCAAGUUACCGAAGACCUAAACUGUGUAGCACUAAUGUAUCCAAAAUUUUGCCUUUUUCAGGAUAUUCUCACGGAGGAGAUCAUUGGGCGUCGUACUAAGAGAGAGGGGUUAUACUACAUGGAUGACUUUAAUUCCGGCAGAGUCAACACCGUGAGUCGAUCUUUACUGACAAAAGAAAACCAGAUUUGGCUAUGGCAUUAUCGGUUGGGACAUCCAUCUUUUAGCUACAUGAAGUAUUUAUUUCCGAAAUUGUUUUUGAAUUUGAAUUAUUCAGACUUUAAAUGUGAAACUUGCAUCCUUGCCAAGAGUCAUCGUGUAUCCUUUCCGAUUAGCUUGAAUAAAAGUGAUACUCCUUUUGCCUUGGUUCACUCUGAUGUUUGGGGACCAUCUCCCAUUACCACUGUCUCUGGCAUACGUUGGUUUGUUACCUUCGUGGAUGAUUGUACUAGGAUGACAUGGCUCUAUUUACUGAAGCGCAAAAAUGAAGUUUUUGAUGUGUUUCGUAUGUUUCACGCUAUGGUUCAUAAUCAAUUUUCAGCAAACAUACGGAUUUUUCGAUCGGAUAAUGGGGGAGAAUAUGUGAAUAAUAACUUUUCAGCAUUUUUUCACAGGAACGGUAUUCUCCAUGAAUUAUCCUGUAGUCAAACUCCACAACAAAAUGGAGUGGCAGAACGGAAAAACCGACAUAUUCUAGAAACUGCACGGGCAUUAUUAUUUGGAGCACAGGUGCCUAGUAGACAUUGGGAUGAUAGUGUUACUACUGCUGUCUAUUUAUUGAAUCGAAUGCCUUCAAAAACCUUGGACUUCAAGACUCCUCUACAGGUUUUGUCACGACAUGUUACUCUACCAUCUAUACUGUUACUUCCACCGCGUGUGUUCGGCUGCGUGACAUUUGUUCAUAUACAUAAACAUCAACGAACAAAACUUGAACCGUGUGCUGUUCGUUGUAUGUUUCUUGGGUAUGGCUCGAAUAAGAAGGGAUUCCGCUGCUAUGAUCCUAAAACCAAACGACUCUAUACUACAAUGGAUGUUACUUUCCUAGAGUCAGAAUAUUUUUACUCAUCCACGACAUCAACUUCUCCUCUCUAGGGGGAGACGUGGGAUGAAGAGAAGAAGUGGUGGAACACUGAAGCUGCUGAGAAUAUGGUAACGGUUUCAACCCCAGCUGAGACUGAAGCUGCUGAGAGUAUAUCCACGGGUCCAACUGAGGCUGCUGAUAUAGCCACGGUUCCAAACAUGGUAGCUGAAGGUGUUGCAGAGACAGAGUGCAUUAAUAACAGUAAGACAGUUGAUGAGGAGGACCAACAAACUGCACCCGACAGAAUGAGUAAAACCCCCUCUCUUGAAGUACCCGACAAUGAAACUCCUUUGCAUGAGGAUAUUCCUGAGGUAAUUUCUCCUACACCAUCCACCAGUAAUAUUUUGAAUUCUUCUGCUAGCUAUCACUUACCUUUCAGGCAGAACAGAGGCAAGCCUCCAGCCCGGUACUCACCAGAUAUGGCAGGAAAGAAAUCAAAGUACCCCGUCUCCAAUUAUGUAUCCACACAAAGACUGCCUAUGCUUCUCAAGGCCUUUGCAUACAAGUUGUCCUCCUGCCAUAUCCCUUAUGGAAUUCAUGAAGCAUUAGCAGAUCCCAAAUGGUCCCAAGCAAUCCAAGAAGAAAUGGCAGCCCUAGAAAAGAACAAAACAUGGGACAUUGUCACAUUACCACAAGGGAAGAAAACCGUUGGGUGUAAGUGGGUAUUCUCCACCAAAUAUAAAGCAGAUGGAUCCAUUGAGCGACACAAGGCAAGAUUGGUAGCGAAGGGGUAGACACAGACUUAUGGGAUAGAUUAUCAGGAGACGUUUUCUCCAGUAGCAAAACUGAACACAGUCAGAGUUUUGUUAUCCUUGACUGCAAAUUUAGAUUGGCCACUACACCAAUUUGAUGUGAAAAAUGCCUUCCUUCAUGGAGACCAUGAGGAGGAAGUGUAUAUGGAUAUCCCACCAGGAUAUACUUCAACCAAACCCGGAACUGUCUGCAGAUUACAACGAGCUUUAUAUGGAUUAAAGCAGUCACCACGCGCAUGGUUUGGUCGAUUUAGCAUGGCUAUGAGAAAGUAUGGUUUUCAACAGAGCAACUCAGAUCAUACCCUCUUCCUGAAGAAGCAACAAGGAAAGGUAAUUGUCCUGAUAAUUUAUGUAGAUGAUAUGAUCAUUACAGGAGAUGAUGAAGAAGAAAUUAAAAGAUUGCAAGAGCAGCUAUUUACCGAAUUUGAAAUGAAGAACUUAGGUGGACUUAAGUACUUCUUAGGGAUUGAAGUGGCUAGAUCAAAGCGGGGAAUUUUUCUCUCACAAAGAAAGUAUGUAUUGGACCUACUGACUGAAGUAGGAAUGCUUGACUGCAAACCGGCAGACACUCCAACCGUUCAGAAUCAAAAACUUGGAUUGUAUCCUGAUCAGGAACCAGCUGAUAAAGACAGGUAUCAACGAUUGGUAGGUAAACUGAUUUACUUAUCUCAUACUCGUCCAGAUAUUUCUUACGCUGCCAGCCUAGUUAGUCAAUUCAUGCAUUGUCCUAGCAAGGAUCACAUGGAUGCAGUUGGUCGAAUACUUCAGUACCUAAAAUCCGCUCCAGGAAGAGGACUUAUGUUCUUGAAGAAUGGUCAUUUGGAUAUUGAAGGUUACACGGAUGCUGACUGGGCAGGAAAUUUGUUUGAUAGAAAAUCUACAUCUGGCUACUUCACUUUCGUCGGUGGUAACUUGGUUACAUGGAGGAGUAAAAAACAGAAAGUGGUAGCUUUGUCGAGUGCCGAGGCUGAGUUCAGAGGAAUGGCUAAAGGCCUUUGCGAACUUCUUUGGAUUAGAAGACUACUCUCUGAAAUUGGUUUCACUCCUAAGUCAGGAAUGAACCUGUACUGCGAUAAUAAAGCUGCAAUUGCAAUUUCUCAAAAUCCAAUUCAGCAUGACCGGACGAAACAUAUCGAGAUAGACCGACAUUUCAUUAAACAGAAUCUUGAAGAAGGAGUGAUUUGCUUUCCUUUUGUUAGAUCAGAAGACCAACUUGCUGAUAUGCUCACAAAGGCUGUCUCCAACAAAAACUUUCGUGACUCACUUAACAAGUUGGGCAUAGAAGAUAUCUUUGCACCAACUUGAGGGGGAGUGUUAGCGUGAGCUGUACAGUUUAGGAAUUAAUGUUGGUGUGAGCUGUAGAAUCCAAUAUAGGAAUUAUAUUUUUAAUAUUCUGUAAUUGUAUAUAUCCCAAUAUAUAUGGGAUUAAUGUUACUUACCUAGAUAGUUAUCUUGGGAAGGGUUUCUCUAUAUAAGAGAACCACUCUGUAACGUUUGAAGAAUAAGAAAAAGAAGGGAAUACACAGGGCGGCUGCUCUCUGAUUUAUCACAAGAUUUAAUGCAAUUUGAACGUUUGGUAACUAAUAGAAGAGGUGGGCAUGAACUUUCACUCGUGAGUUUGGAAACAUUACAGUUGAACUUAUUGCCUGACUUGAGGUGUAUAUGGAAGGGCCUAGUGCCGAGCAAUUUGACUACUUUGAAGGUGAAAAGGUGUAACAGACUGACACAUGUAUUCACAGACAGCAUGAUUGCUAGUCUAGUUCAACUGAAAUUUCUAGAGAUAUCAAAUUGUGAGGAAUUGGAGCAAAUCAUUGCUAAGGAUAAUGAUGAUGAAAAGAAUCAGAUAUUUUCAGGAAGUGACCUCCAAUCUCCAUGCUUCCCUAAUUUGUGUCGACUUGAGAUCACAGGAUGCAACAAGUUGAAGAGUCUCUUCCCGGUAGCCAUGGCUUCAGGUCUCAAAAAGCUCCAGAUACUUAAAGUAAGAGAAUCCUCUCAAUUAUUGGGAGUAUUUGGGCAGGGUGAUCAUGCUUCACCUGUCAAUGUUGAGAAGGAGGUGGUGCUCCCUCAUCUGUUGCAGCUGAUUCUAGAAGAAUUACCAAGCAUUGUCUACUUCAGUCAUGGAUGUUAUGAUUUCAUAUUCCCUCGUUUGUGGAACUUGGAGGUGCGUCAAUGUCCAAAGCUGACCACAAGAUUUGCUACUACAUCAAAUGGUUCAAUGAGUGCUCAAUCAGAGG
This 6206-nucleotide long non-coding RNA is filed under the name Populus trichocarpa (black cottonwood). Its description in RNAcentral is "long non-coding RNA (PTRI_LNC000481)". Lineage: Eukaryota; Viridiplantae; Streptophyta; Magnoliopsida; Malpighiales; Salicaceae. The record is from RNAcentral.